GCAAUGGUGGUUCAGUAGAGUUCCCACCUCCCAUGUGGGAGACCUGGGUUCAAUUCCCAGCCAACACA
RNAcentral lists this transfer RNA (68 nucleotides) under Loxodonta africana (African savanna elephant). It matches the Rfam family "tRNA". From Rfam's summary of the family: Transfer RNA (tRNA) molecules are approximately 80 nucleotides in length. Their secondary structure includes four short double-helical elements and three loops (D, anti-codon, and T loops). The record is from Rfam by way of RNAcentral. Lineage: Eukaryota; Metazoa; Chordata; Mammalia; Proboscidea; Elephantidae.